UACGAGUGCCCCAAGCGUUAUCCGGAAUCAUUGGGCGUAAAGGGUGUGUAGGCGGUUGUGUUAGUCUUUUGUUAAAUUCUUCGGCUUAACCGGGGACAUGCAAGGGAAACGGCACAACUAGAGGAUGCAAGAGGUAUAUGGAACUCAUAGUGGAGGGGUGAAAUCCGUUGAUAUUAUGGGGAACACCGAAAGCGAAGGCAGUAUACUGGUGCAUUUCUGACGCUGAAAUACGAAAGCGUGGGUCGCGAAU
RNAcentral lists this ribosomal RNA (250 nucleotides) under uncultured bacterium. RNAcentral describes it as "partial 16S ribosomal RNA". It matches the Rfam family "Bacterial small subunit ribosomal RNA", at positions 524 to 773 of the family's 1533-position model. The record is from RNAcentral.